AGGGGCUUAGGAUCAAGUACUAAACCAAGAGCCUUCAAAGCUCUAAAUGAGGGUGAGACCCCCUCAGCCUCUG
Molecule: transfer RNA, 73 nt
Filed under: Saurida eso
Lineage: Eukaryota; Metazoa; Chordata; Actinopteri; Aulopiformes; Synodontidae
Description: tRNA-Trp
Rfam family: tRNA
About the family: Transfer RNA (tRNA) molecules are approximately 80 nucleotides in length. Their secondary structure includes four short double-helical elements and three loops (D, anti-codon, and T loops).
Source: RNAcentral